RNAcentral lists this ribosomal RNA (1372 nucleotides) under uncultured bacterium. Its description in RNAcentral is "bacterial SSU rRNA". It matches the Rfam family "Bacterial small subunit ribosomal RNA", at positions 28 to 1381 of the family's 1533-position model. The record is from RNAcentral.
GAUGAACGCUGGCGGCGUGCCUAAUACAUGCAAGUCGAGCGAACGGACGAGAAGCUUGCUUCUCUGAUGUUAGCGGCGGACGGGUGAGUAACACGUGGAUAACCUACCUAUAAGACUGGGAUAACUUCGGGAAACCGUAGCUAAUACCGGAUAAUAUUUUGAACCGCAUGGUUCAAAAGUGAAAGACGGUCUUGCUGUCACUUAUAGAUGGAUCCGCGCUGCAUUAGCUAGUUGGUAAGGUAACGGCUUACCAAGGCAACGAUGCAUAGCCGACCUGAGAGGGUGAUCGGCCACACUGGAACUGAGACACGGUCCAGACUCCUACGGGAGGCAGCAGUAGGGAAUCUUCCGCAAUGGGCGAAAGCCUGACGGAGCAACGCCGCGUGAGUGAUGAAGGUCUUCGGAUCGUAAAACUCUGUUAUUAGGGAAGAACAUAUGUGUAAGUAACUGUGCACAUCUUGACGGUACCUAAUCAGAAAGCCACGGCUAACUACGUGCCAGCAGCCGCGGUAAUACGUAGGUGGCAAGCGUUAUCCGGAAUUAUUGGGCGUAAAGCGCGCGUAGGCGGUUUUUUAAGUCUGAUGUGAAAGCCCACGGCUCAACCGUGGAGGGUCAUUGGAAACUGGAAAACUUGAGUGCAGAAGAGGAAAGUGGAAUUCCAUGUGUAGCGGUGAAAUGCGCAGAGAUAUGGAGGAACACCAGUGGCGAAGGCGACUUUCUGGUCUGUAACUGACGCUGAUGUGCGAAAGCGUGGGGAUCAAACAGGAUUAGAUACCCUGGUAGUCCACGCCGUAAACGAUGAGUGCUAAGUGUUAGGGGGUUUCCGCCCCUUAGUGCUGCAGCUAACGCAUUAAGCACUCCGCCUGGGGAGUACGACCGCAAGGUUGAAACUCAAAGGAAUUGACGGGGACCCGCACAAGCGGUGGAGCAUGUGGUUUAAUUCGAAGCAACGCGAAGAACCUUACCAAAUCUUGACAUCCUUUGACAACUCUAGAGAUAGAGCCUUCCCCUUCGGGGGACAAAGUGACAGGUGGUGCAUGGUUGUCGUCAGCUCGUGUCGUGAGAUGUUGGGUUAAGUCCCGCAACGAGCGCAACCCUUAAGCUUAGUUGCCAUCAUUAAGUUGGGCACUCUAAGUUGACAGCCGGUGACAAACCGGAGGAAGGUGGGGAUGACGUCAAAUCAUCAUGCCCCUUAUGAUUUGGGCUACACACGUGCUACAAUGGACAAUACAAAGGGCAGCGAAACCGCGAGGCCAAGCAAAUCCCAUAAAGUUGUUCUCAGUUCGGAUUGUAGUCUGCAACUCGACUACAUGAAGCUGGAAUCGCUAGUAAUCGUAGAUCAGCAUGCUACGGUGAAUACGUUCCCGGGUCU